This 500-nucleotide ribosomal RNA is filed under the name uncultured bacterium. RNAcentral describes it as "partial 16S ribosomal RNA". It matches the Rfam family "Bacterial small subunit ribosomal RNA", at positions 30 to 523 of the family's 1533-position model. The record is from RNAcentral.
AUUGAACGCUGGCGGAAUGCUUUACACAUGCAAGUCGAACGGCAGCACGGACUUCGGUCUGGUGGCGAGUGGCGAACGGGUGAGUAAUGUAUCGGAACGUGCCCAGUCGUGGGGGAUAACGUAGUGAAAAUUACGCUAAUACCGCAUACGAUCUAUGGAUGAAAGCGGGGGAUCGCAAGACCUCGCGCGAUUGGAGCGGCCGAUAUCAGAUUAGGUAGUUGGUGGGGUAAAGGCCCACCAAGCAAACGAUCUGUAGCUGGUCUGAGAGGACGAGCAGCGACACUGGAGCUGAGACACGGUCCAGACUCCAACGGGGGGCAGCAGUGGGGAAUGUUGGACAAUGGGCGAAAGCCUGAUCCAGCCAUUCCGCGUGCAGGAUGAAGGCCCUCGGGUUGUAAACUGCUUUUGUACAGAACGAAAAGGUUUCUACUAAUACUAGGAGCUCAUGACGGUACUGUAAGAAUAAGCACCGGCUAACUACGUGCCAGCAGCCGCCGUAA